Molecule: long non-coding RNA, 349 nt
Organism: Papaver somniferum (opium poppy)
Lineage: Eukaryota; Viridiplantae; Streptophyta; Magnoliopsida; Ranunculales; Papaveraceae
Exons: 3
Source: RefSeq, a predicted model, not a curated record
AUCCAGAAGGUGGAGUAGAAGUCAAUACCCUCUAACAAAUAAUCGAUUUCAAUGUCUGUGAUUUCAAUUAUAAAAUCCUACUCGCGAUUACUUGGGGAUUUAGGGUUGCGGUUUACUUCAGCCGGUUCCUAUUGUGAUUCCUGGUGAUGAUAGUGUGGCCGCGGUGAUGAAGUAGAAGAUGUCUCAGUUUGCUAAUAAGAUUGCUCGUUAAAUUUAUUAUCUAUUUUGUGAGUUGAAUUGGAGACAAAGAAGUUAACAUACACGGGUAUAGAUUUUGUUUUUUACAAGCAUGUAAAUGAUGGUUCUGGAUUGAAAGCUCCUCUUAUUGCUGAUGAUGUUUAUGAUAUAA